This 660-nucleotide ribosomal RNA is filed under the name Triticum aestivum (bread wheat). RNAcentral describes it as "partial small subunit ribosomal RNA". The record is from RNAcentral. Lineage: Eukaryota; Viridiplantae; Streptophyta; Magnoliopsida; Poales; Poaceae.
AUGCUACCCAUCACAGCACUAGUACUCUUCUGCUUCUUCAGGCCCGCCAUGUCCGUCGGCGGCGGCGAACCGUCGCUGUCCGCGUCGGCCAUCGUCGCCCCGGCGGUGUCCGGGUCGCACGUCCUCCGCAUCGACGGCUACUCCCUCACCAAGGGGCUCGGCAACGGCAAGUACAUCGCCUCCGAGGCGUUCGCCGUCGGAGGUCAUCGAUGGCGUCUGCUCUACUACCCCGACAGCCUCGACUCGAAGGACUCCGACUGGAUCUCCGUCAUGCUGCACUGCGAUCACGCCGAUGAUCUCGAUGAGGUAAAGGCCAAGUUCACGAUUAGCUUGCUGGACCAGCAUGGGAACCCUGUGCCUUCCUACAGCAAGACCAGCCCGCUGUGCAGCUUCUCCGGCAGUCAAUCUGCGCGUCUUGCCACGGGCUAUGAUCUCAUCAAGAGGAGCGAGCUUGAGGGAUCGGUUUACCUCAAGCACGAUCGUUUCAGUAUCAGGUGCGAUGUCACCGUCGCAAAGGAGAUGUUCACAAAGGCCAUACCCGUUGAAGAUCGAAGGAAACGGCUGGCCAUCUCGCCGACCAUGGGCUGGCUUGUGCUUGCGUGCUUGCUCCUUUUAUCUGGUGUUGUGCUUCAGUGGGCAAUGGUUGCAGAUAUGUUGUAA